RNAcentral lists this ribosomal RNA (503 nucleotides) under uncultured bacterium. RNAcentral's name for it is "partial 16S ribosomal RNA". The record is from RNAcentral.
GGAGUUAGCCGGUGCUUCUUCUGUGAGUGAUGUCCUUCCUGCCGGCUAUUAACCCGCAGGCCUUCUUCCUCACUGAAAGUGCUUUACAACCCGAAGGCCUUCUUCACACACGCGGCAUGGCUGGAUCAGGGUUGCCCCCAUUGUCCAAUAUUCCCCACUGCUGCCUCCCGUAGGAGUCUGGGCCGUGUCUCAGUCCCAGUGUGGCUGAUCAUCCUCUCAGACCAGCUACGGAUCGUCGCCUUGGUGAGCCGUUACCUCACCAACCAGCUAAUCCGACAUAGGCUCAUCCGAUAGCGCGAGGCCCGAAGGUCCCCCGNUUUCCCCCGUAGGGCGUAUGCGGUAUUAGCCUGGGUUUCCCCAGGUUAUCCCCCACUACCGGGCAGAUUCCUAUGCAUUACUCACCCGUCCGCCGCUCGCCACCAGGAGCAAGCUCCCCGUGCUGCCGCUCGACUUGCAUGUGUAGCUCGCGCCGACGCGUCAUCUGAGCAUAUACAACUACUCGA